AUUGAACGCUGGCGGAAUGCUUUACACAUGCAAGUCGAGCGGCAGCACGGGGGCAACCCUGGUGGCGAGCGGCGAGCGGGUGAGUAAUACAUCGGAACAUGCCCAGUCGUGGGGGAUAACACUUCGAAAGAAGUGCUAAUACCGCAUACGUCCUGAGGGGGAAAGCGGGGGAUCGCAAGACCUCGCGCGAUUGGAGUGGCCGAUGUCAGAUUAGCUAGUUGGUGGGGUAAAGGCCUACCAAGGCAACGAUCUGUAGCUGGUCUGAGAGGAUGAUCAGCCACACUGGGACUGAGACACGGCCCAGACUCCUACGGGAGGCAGCAGUGGGGAAUUUUGGACAAUGGGGGCAACCCUGAUCCAGCCAUUCCGCGUGAGUGAAGAAGGCCUUCGGGUUGUAAAGCUCUUUCGGCAGGAACGAAACGGUGAGCUCUAACAUAGCUUGCUAAUGACGGUACCUGAAGAAGAAGCACCGGCUAACUACGUG
This 484-nucleotide ribosomal RNA is filed under the name uncultured bacterium. Its description in RNAcentral is "partial 16S ribosomal RNA". It matches the Rfam family "Bacterial small subunit ribosomal RNA", at positions 30 to 507 of the family's 1533-position model. The record is from RNAcentral.